CCGUCAAUUUCCUUUAAGUUUCAGCCUUGCGGCCGUACUUCCCAGGUGGCUCGCUUCACGGCCUCCCUACGGCACCGACAACGGUCGCACCGUGGCCGACACCUAGCGAGUAUCGUUUACGGCUAGGACUACCCGGGUAUCUAAUCCGGUUCGUGCCCCUAGCUUUCGUCCCUUGCCGUCAGGUCCGUUCUGGUGAGACGCCUUCGCCACUGGUGGUCCUUCAAGGAUUACAAGAUUUCACCCCUACCCCUGAAGUACCUCUCACCUCUCCCGGCCUCGAGCCGAACAGUAUCUCCUGAAAGCCCAACAGUUGAGCUGCUGGAUUUCUCAAGAGACUUAUCCGGCCGGCUACAGACCCUUUAGACCCAAUAAUAACGGUUACCACUCGAGCCGCCGGUGUUACCGCGGCGGCUGGCACCGGUCUUGCCCGGCCCUUGCUAUGCAAUGCUUUUUAGGCAUCACGACAGCCAGAUUUGUAACCUGGCACUCGAGGUCCCCUUAUCGCCGUUGCCGGCAUUGUAAAGUUUUCGCGCCUGCUGCCUCCCGUAGGAGU
This 553-nucleotide ribosomal RNA is filed under the name uncultured bacterium. Its description in RNAcentral is "partial 16S ribosomal RNA". The record is from RNAcentral.